Molecule: ribosomal RNA, 347 nt
Filed under: uncultured bacterium
Lineage: Bacteria
Description: partial 16S ribosomal RNA
Rfam family: Bacterial small subunit ribosomal RNA
Source: RNAcentral
CCUACGGGUGGCAGCAGUGAGGAAUAUUGGUCAAUGGACGAGAGUCUGAACCAGCCAAGUAGCGUGAGGGAUGAAGGCACAGUGGGUUGUAAACUUCUUUUAUAAAGGAAUAAAACGCGGCACGUGUGCCUUUUUGCGUGUACUUUAUGAAUAAGCAUCGGCUAACUCCGUGCCAGCAGCCGCGGUAAUACGGAGGGUCCGAGCGUUAUCCGGAUUUAUUGGGUUUAAAGGGAGCGUAGAGGGGUUGUUAAGUCAGUUGUGAAAGUUCGCGGCUCAACCCUAAAAUUGCCAUUGAUACUGGCAGUCUUGAGUACAGUUGAGGUAGGCGGAAUUCGUGGUGUAGCGGU